RNAcentral lists this ribosomal RNA (216 nucleotides) under uncultured bacterium. Its description in RNAcentral is "partial 16S ribosomal RNA". It matches the Rfam family "Bacterial small subunit ribosomal RNA", at positions 524 to 736 of the family's 1533-position model. The record is from RNAcentral.
UACGUAGGGGGGCAAGCGUUGUCCGGAAUCAUUGGGCGUAAAGAGCGCGUAGGCGGCCCAGUAAGUCCGCUCUGAAAGUCAGAGGCUCAACCUCUGAAUGCGGGUGGAUACUGCUGGGCUAGAGUCCGGAAGAGGCGAGUGGAAUUCCUGGUGGUAGCGGUGAAAUGCGCAGAUAUCAGGAGGAACACCGGUGGCGAAGGCGGCUCUCUGGGGACG